GGUAGACACAAACUCAUAGCCCUGUAGAUCAUGAUUUAGGGACAUUAUACGCCAAUUAUCCUUCAGAGCGGGCUCAUCAAAACUGGCAACCGUAUAGCAAAAACGAUGAUAGUUGUAGGUGAUAUUCUCGUUGGCCAACGCUGAAAUUACCUCAUC
Molecule: long non-coding RNA, 156 nt
Organism: Drosophila albomicans
Lineage: Eukaryota; Metazoa; Arthropoda; Insecta; Diptera; Drosophilidae
Exons: 2
Source: RefSeq, a predicted model, not a curated record